This is a non-coding RNA of Camellia sinensis, 5714 nucleotides long. Lineage: Eukaryota; Viridiplantae; Streptophyta; Magnoliopsida; Ericales; Theaceae. The record is from RefSeq and is a predicted model, not a curated record.
UCUAAUCAAUUACAACAAAAUAUCAAAUCAUUCCAAACUCUAAAACUCCAAAACUAUUUUCAAAAUAUACAACCAAACAAAUUACAAAAAUUUCUACACUCUCUUCCCAAAAUAUGUUUUGAAAACUUAUCUCCCAUAGUCAAACCAAACAUUUCUUAUACAAAGACCUUUUCUUUUUUUUUCUUUUUUUCCUUUUUUUCUUUCUUUUUUUUUUUCUUCUUAAAAAAGGCUCUAUUUGUCUAAAAGUUCCUAAUAGCAAAGGCUAUUAAUUAUAAGAAUAGAUGUACAUUAUAAGUUUUAAUGUAAUAUAUAUAUACAUAUAUAUAUUAAAAAAAUAUUAUUUAAAUAUAUAAAAAGCCUCUCAUUGGAUUGGAUGGGAUGGGAUAGGGUCUUCAAAUGCAUAAUAUUUGAAACAAUUAGUGCUAUUUUUUUCUUUGUAACGAAACAGAUUUGAACCCAUCAUUUCCGUACACCUGAUGCCUUUGCCACUGGGCUUGGAUGGCAAUCAGGUUUGGUGUUUUGAUUAACUGGAUAGAAUACAAAUAAUAUGGAUCUUUUGUAGACAAAUUCACUGAAGCACCUUUUGGACUUCUGGAUUUGAAAUGAAUGGAUUUAAUAUCAAUAUUUUUGGGAGUGUAGUCUUUAAUUCAAUGUAAUAUUUUUAGAUUUAGAUAUCAAUAAUGAAUUUGAGAGUUUUAUAAUGAUUGAUUUCAAAUAAUUCGGUGAAAAUAGUUAUUUGAAAUUUUUUCAUAAAGAUCGUACUCGUACAAUAAUCUUAAUAAAGUACAUGUCUCAUAUCAUUAUUCAAUCCUUUACUUUAGAGUUGUCAAUCUAACUUCAAUAGCAAAUCUUCUUAUAUUUUUAUAAAAUUCCAAUUCAAAUCCACUCAUCUAAGGGAAUGCUGAAGAUUUUUUCUAGUUUGUUAUGUAUUGGUUUGGGUGAGAUAUUCAAUAUAGUCCUUAUUUAGUCACGGAGCGUGGGGGUGGGUGGUACUUGUGGGGUGGUGGAUUGCACGGAGGAGGUUAGAAAUUCUCGUAUUAUGAAUCGGGCUUUCGGUGAUAAUGACUAGGCGGAUUUGUUACCAUCAUAUUGCCUAAACAAAUUGAAGACGUUUUUGUCUACUGGAUGGGAGUAUGGGAUUACCCAUGUUGGGCAAUGUUUCGAGGAGGGGGGCGGGGCUAAUGAAUUUCGGGAAGUAUUAUGUAAAUAUGCUGUGGAAUGUGGAUUUCAAUUCAAGUACGUGAAAAAUGAUUCAGUCUGUAUUACAAUAGUAUGUAAGUUCGUAGUGUCUAUGGGGUGCACAUGGUCAGUUCACGUGAGGGUGUUACCAUCGAAUGGGAUUCUAUGUGUUAAGAGGUUUGAUAGUGUGCACACUUGUGGCGCUGUUGUACGAACUAAUAGGAACCCACGUAUGGGGUCUGAGUUGGUGUCUAGCAUUGUUGCGGAUUGGGUGCUUGAUCAGCCACUCAUGCGCCCUACGAACGUGAUUGUUGAUUUUGAAAAACAAUUAUGGUUUGGAAAUUAGUUAUCGGGUCCCAUGGUUAGGGGUGUAGAAAGCUAGGGGUGAAGUGUAUGAAGAUUACGCAAUGUCAUGCGACCAACUCAGAUGGUAUAGCGAAAAAAAUCUACACAAUUACAUUAACCUUAAAUUUGAUAAAAAAAAAAUAUGGGAGGUUUGUUCGGUAUUUCAUAUCAUUCUGUGCAUAUAUAGAUGGGUUUAAUUAUUGUCAGCCUUUGUUGUUUUUGGAUAGGACGUUCUUAAAAGGCAGAUUCAAGGCGAAUCUGCUCAUUGCUAUUGCGAAGGAUGGCAAUCAAGGUAAGAGUGUAUCAUGCUUAAUUAUGUUAUGUAAUCUGUAUGAACAUUUCCAUUUGAAUUUUGUGAACUUAUUACACAUUUAUGCACUGUGCACAGAUUUGUUUCAUAUGACAGGAUGCAUCAACAUUUCUAUUUACACAUUUUCGUCUGCUUCACUUGACUAUAUAUGUUAUGUUCAAUGGUUUGUUCUCCAUGGCAUUUGCAAUUGUUGAUUCCGAGAAUCCUGCCAAUUGGGAGUGGUUUUUACGGCAUCUGAAAGAGGUUGUUGGUGGUGGGUGAAUGUUAACAUUUAUCUCCAACUAUCACGCUGGCUUAUUGCAAUCUAUGCCAACUAUGUUCCCAUGGGCACAUCAUGCAUUUUGUUUGUUGCAUUUUCAAAUGAAGGGACUAGAUGAAAUAUGUGAAUGCAUCGCACAAAAUUGGUUUGAUGAGCAACCUUCGGGAAUGUGCUUACGCGUCCACUGUAGCAUGUUUUAAUCAGGAAUUAGAGGAAUUAAAGAAGUGCAGCCCGGCGGUGAUUAAAGAUUUUUUGAAAGACUUGCAUCCUAAAUAUUGGGCUAACGCAUACUUCAAGUAGGUGAAUAUGCCCAAUGGGAAUGGAAGGUUUUCGAUUCCAACCUUUUUUCUGUUCUUUUUUGUUUCUUUGUAUAUCGGUUGUAGUAGCAUGGUAUAAAUGGGGUUGUGCUAUUCAAUUUUAUUGAUAUUUUUUUGUUCACAUUGGAUUUUUUCAAUGGACGGCUUUAUGGCAAGAUGUGCUCGAACUCCGCCAAGUCUUUCAACAAUUGGAUACGUGAGGCCUGUCAUCUUUCAAUUGCUAGGUUUGUUAAUAUGAUAAGGGGUCAAAUAAUGAAGCAGAUGGCAAAGCGCAGAGUCAAGUCUAGUACAUGGGCCGACGUAAUAUGCUCGAAGAUGGGGAAAAAAAUUUUGGUAAAGGCAUACAACGAUAGUAGGUCUUGGAGCGUUAGUCAAGCCAAUGACAAUGUGUAUGAGGUUCAUUCUCAUCUGUCGGUUUUGGUUGACACGGUUAGAUGUUCGUGUUCUUGUUUUUAGUGAUAGAUAAAUGGGUUUCCAUGUUCACAUGUUGUUGUCUCAUUUCGUAAUAACGAGAGAAACAUAUACGAUUCAAUUGAAGGGUUCUACCUUAUUGAGAAGUUUCGAGCUUCGUAUAACGGAACAAUAUAUUCCAUUCCAACCGUAGAGAAACCGAUGUUCACACCCAAUGAUUACUUGAGUACGCUGCCAAAGGUGAAGCGUCCUCCUAGAAGGCCCAAACGCAAGAGGAUUUCAUCAAAGGGCGAGGUAGUGCAGCGUAUUCGAUGUGGUCAUUAUGGCAAGUUUAGUAACCACAAUAGGAAGACUUGCAAGGAGUCAAUAUAGACGUGCAACAAUAUGAUUAAAUUUCAUUUUCCGGAUAGUGGGCUUGUUUUUAUUUAUCGUAUUGUCACGCACACAUUUUCUAUCUUCAUAUUUGCUUAUGUUAUUUUUGCUCGUGAGACAUUAUGUUUUAUAAGUAUUAUUGAUGCACUAUGACUUGAGUUCUACUUGAAAAACCAUUUAGUCCACAUUGUCGUAUUGCAAAACAGUGCUUAACUAUUACAUUUUGCGUUUUUUUUUUUUAAACUGUUCUGCGAUGAUGUUUGGGUGCGACAUGGGUUCCCUUUGUGUUUUGGUUGUGUUCACUUUUUUGAUAUUCCAAUAAUACUCAUCUAUGCUGUUUAUCUUUAUAUCAUACAUAACAUUCUCGUAGCUAACUGUGAAAUUCUGGUUGUUGUGCUUAUUUCGUAAUGGAUUUAAUACUACGUUGUUUAUCUUUAUGUCAUACAUAACAUUCUCGUAGCUAACUAUGAAAUUAUGGUUGCUGUGCUUAUUUCGUGAUGGAUUUAAUACUACGAUGUUUAUCUUUAUGUCAUACAUAACAUUCUCGUAGCUAACUGUGAAAUUCUGGUUACUGUGCUUAAUUCGUAAUGGAUUUAAUACUGCCCAACUCAAGCCGACUGACGCCUACAACCACUACUAUUGGUAUAACAAACAUACUAGCAUUGAAACCAAAAUCAUCAAAAAUUUCAAUGUUUAUAAACGUAUAGAAGCACAAGAUGUUGAUGCACAUUUGGGGCAAUGACCGAUGUCAGGUCAUGAGACUAUGUCAAUAAAGGUGACGAAUGUUACGACAUUCGCUAACAACACAAGAUGUAGCACCCUCACGCAAAAUGAUUAUGACAUGUUCACAAUGUUAACAACCAUGGCAAUAACAUUAAUAGUUGCACAAACAUAUUUCUAUAGAGAUUUUAAGAAUUAUCUCUUGUGAUUGUUUCCUAUUUGUAGAUUAGGAAAUAACUUGAUUAUUUCCUAUUAUUAUAUCUGUAGAUUAAGAAAUAGCUUGAUUGUAGCUUUGAUUAUAGGAAUAGCUCAAUUAUAGGACUUAUUACUUGUUGGUGAUCCAUCUCUAUAAAUAAGUAAUUGUACAAUGUAUAGAAUUAAGCUGAAUAAAAAUAUUCUUCUCAAAGUUUGAUUUGCAAGUUGGUAUCAGCCUUGAAAGAAUCAUCAUCAUCCUUUCAUUGAAUCCAUAUCACCAUCAAACCAUGGCCAAUUCAAAUUCUGAAAUAUCUGGCACCAAGUCUGCUCCUAUUAUCAUUCAAUUCGAAGGCUCAUCGUUCAAUGCAAGGAUUGUACUCAAUGAGACCAAUUAUGAUAAGUGGUCUCAAAUCAUAGAGACGCAUAUUGCUGAGAAUGAGAAACUCUCAUUUAUUCGUGGCAAUUUAUAGCCAACAACCGAGAUGGAUGAUGGAUAUGAAAAGUGGUAUGCAGACAAUCAAAGGGUCAAGAGAUGGCUGUUGAUUUCUAUGUCCCCAUACAUUAUGAAGGGAUACAUUCUCCUACCCACCACUCGCGAUAUUUGGAAAGCUCUUUCUCAAGCUUUUUAUGAUGGAGCAGACGAAUUACAAGUAUUUACCUUGAAUCAGAGGGCCUUCUCUGCCAAACAGAGUGGUAGAACACUCUCUGUGUAUUAUGGAGAGUUAAUUGAAAUUUUUAGUGAAUUGGAUCUUCGUGAUCAGGUGAUCAUGGAGAGGGAAAAAGAUGUUGCAUCAUAUCAGAAAUCAGGUCAAUGACUAAAGACGUAUAUUUUUCUUGCUAGAUUAGAUGGUGAAUUCGAACAAAUCCGUGGUGAAAUUUUGAGGAAGGAUCAAAUUCUCGCAUUAAAGGAAUGUUAUGCACUAGUCCGCCGUGAAUGUGUUCGACGCGAAACGAUGAAUAUUGAACUUGGAAAUUCUGAAGCUUCCGCCAUAGUGACUCGAAACCGUUCUAAUCAGAAUUGGCUUCCUUAACACCAACAGGACCGACCAAAGCUUGUCCCUCCUAAGACUGCUACUAGUGUCAAUAAAUCUUUCUACAAAUGCACUCACUGCAAUCAAAUUGGUCAUACCAGAAAUCGAUGCUAUGAACUUGUGGGGUAUCCAGAAUGGUGGGAUCAUAGCUGUGAUUCACGGAAGAGGAAUUCUAAGAAGGCCUCUAUUGCUGCGGUUGUUGAAACAAAGACAGCGAAUGAUAUUGCUGAAGCAUUCUCAACAUUAGCAGUAGCUGCAGGACAUCCAAACAAGGCAGAUGAUUGAUUGUGCUGUUAGGCAAGGGAAGCUGUAUUACUUAGACUUGGGGUCAAAGAGUUCGAACCAAUUGCGUUAUGCUCUAAUGAUAGGCGGUUCUGUAGGUGAAAAGAAGAAAUCUGAGAUAUGGUUAUGGCAUCGACGUCUGGGGCAUGCUUUAUUUGGUUACCUGAAGAAAUUGUUUCCUAAUUUAUUUGCAAAAAUUGAUAUUUCCAAUUUCAAAUGUGAUGUUUGUGAACUUACAAAGAGCCAUCGCGCUUCGUUUCCAUUAAUUUUGAAUAAAAGCCCAGUUCCUUUUA